Molecule: long non-coding RNA, 2895 nt
Filed under: Vitis vinifera (wine grape)
Lineage: Eukaryota; Viridiplantae; Streptophyta; Magnoliopsida; Vitales; Vitaceae
Description: long non-coding RNA (VVIN_LNC005955)
Source: RNAcentral
UUUUUUCCUUUUUCUUUCUUUUUUUUUUAAUCUAAAAACUAAAUCCCCACUUUCUUACGUGGGCUUCAUUUUCGGACCUUCUUUUACAUGUUUGGACAAUUUUCUGGGUAUUAUUUAUUGACUAUCAAAGGGCGUAGGAUUGGGGUAUACUGGAAUUGGAACAGUGAAGAAUUUUCCAAAUUUUGAUUCCAAAGAUUAGCGUACGAAAUAGAGUAGGAAUGGAGUAAUGCCAUUUUAUGGGUUUAGAGAGAGAAAGGGAAACAUUGCACUGGCGAAGCGCUUAGGUGAGUCUGUCUCUGAACCGAAUGCGGAAGGCUUUAGGGCGAAGCAAGCCUUUUCGUGGGUCUGAGUCACCAUUCUCGGACUCUGCGCAAGCAUUUUUUUGAUCUCUCUCUGGAACAAGUAACUCUAUAUAUAUUCUUUUUUUUUUUUUUUAGGCCCCUUCUUUCUUACUUCACGCUACUCUCGUUUCAGACUUUCAGUUGAUUGAGCUGUGAUUUGGGUGGGGAGCAUCGGAUUAUUAUGUGAGCUACUGACUACUGUGUUCCUUUUAGGGAGAUCUUUCAGUGAUUUGAUUUACAGUGGUCUGAGGUUUUCUUUUUCUGGGUAUGGGUGUAGGUGAAGACUGAAGACGAAGCCCUAGCAAUCAUGUUUACAGAAGGUCUUGACAAGAAUGCAGUUCGAUGGGUCAGGGAGGUUAGUUUCACUAACGCAACCCACAUUUAAAAAAAAAAAAAUCAUCUGAGGAAUUUUUAUUUUACGUUUUUAAUGAAUGCUGGUUCGCUGCCUAUUUGGAUCUGGGUGAUUGUUUCUUGCAUUCUUGAAAAUUUUAAAUUGAAAUUUAAUUUGAGGGUUCUUUGAAUAAGCAGAAGGAGCUUUCACACUCGAUUUCGAACCCGAUUCAUCGGAUAGAUCCGGUUCGAGGUGCGGGUCGGGGGUUCGGGCUGCCACCGCCAUCUAAAUUCCGGAGUGGGCACUUGCCAUCGAGCACAAUUCCGGUGUCCAGAACUAUUCCUGGUGAUAAUGAUGAUAUUGAGUCAGGCUCAGACAAUGACAAUGAUCUAACCACAGAUUCGGAAGAGGAGGUUUAUGGUGGAAGGUACUCUCUGGAUUCAUCGCCACCAGAUAACAGGAUUCCGAGCAAUGCUGCUCAUGGAUAUGGGAAGCCCUCACAAGGUCAGCCGCGUUAUGCAAGUGAUUCCAUGUAUUCAGAUGUUAGUUCUUCAAUGGAUGUUAGUUCUUCAAUGGAGACUGUGGGGCGAGGGUAUGGGAAUGUGGCUGAGAGAUUGCUAAGGGGAAAUGGAAGGUACCCAGUUGCGCAGAAUGGUAAUGGUUUCACGGAGGAUGAGUCAUCAGAUUCUGCCGCUAGUUCAGAAUUUUCAACAACUCAAGUGGGGAGCAUUAAUGGUGGUUUGCCUCGGAGAGGAUCGUAUGCUUCUGAGGGAUACACAUCCAGUGUUCCUUCCUGGGUGAAUGCAGGAAGGGCCACCAAAAAGGUUGGUCAUGCUUGAAUGCAUUUUGGUUACUUUUUUAAUAUAGGAUCAUUUACAGAUAGGAUAAUGUUUGGACGUGGGUAAAUUUUGUGUGUUUGGAAAAUUGGAAUUGUACUUUUGUUCCUAAUUGCUAGAGUAGUUAAUACUAUUUAAACCCCAACUUAGAGAUGAUACUACUUCCUACCCAGUUCUCUAGUAUGAUACUUUGCCUAAUAAUAAUCUUCUAGAGACCACUUCUAACUUAUAUCAGCUGGCUGCUUCAGGAGUCGCACAAGGUUACUAGUGAAAAAGUGGCUUUAAUCUGUGAAUGUGUUUUUUAUGUGGAUAUUCUGACGUUUAUUAGUGAAAAAGUAGCUUUGAAAGAUGAAUAUGUUUGUGUGUGCAUAAUAUGGGUUUCUUUCCAAUAAAUGCAUGUGGAGACUGUAAUUCAGUUGAUGGAAUCAUGAGCAUAUAAUAGUUUAGGAAAUGCCCACAUUACAUGAGCAGUGAGCUAUGAAAAUAUUACUAGCAAUUCCAACUGCUGGUUGUCAUGUAUUAGUUUUGUUUUUUUUAGUCAAGCUGUGUUUUCCAAACAUUAUGCCUCUAGAACUUAUGGCUUAAUUAGCACUUUUUCGUUCUGUUGUGUCCUUGGAAAGUCAGGGAAAGUAUUUUAUUUUUCUGCUUUCUACAUUGAAGACAAUGUGCAUAAUUGGUCAAGGGGAGAGAUCGGGAGUGAUUUAUGCAUGACAUGUGAUGUUUGGUGAGGAGCUUAAAAACCACCAAAACCGAUAUUAGAUUUUGCAAUUGAUCUAGGUUGUCAAAGAAUCUAUAGAUGGAAUUCACCCUCUCAAUUAUUAAUUUUAACGAUUGUUUCAAUUUUCAUUGCAAAUCAUCUCCUAAUAUUACAUAUAGGGUAAAAAAUAAAAGGGAAAUACAAAAGGAAAAAAUGAAGGAAAAAAUAAAAGUUUAAACUUAAUAAAAUACUUAUAAAAAAUAAAAGUUUAAACUUUAUAAAAUAUGCUAACAUGCUUCUCCAAAUUUAUCUCUUAUUUCCUCUUUUUUAUAAAAAGGGAAUAAUUUGAAAAUCUAUAAAAUUUUAAAUAAUUUUUGUUGUACAUGAAUUUUCUUCAUACUUUUCAUUGGAUUCCUUCCUUUUUUUUUUCCUUUUCCCUUGUACUUUUUGUAAUCCAAACAGAGCCUUAAGAUUAUCCUUGAGUCCUGGUUAAUCAUUUCUGUAAAUGCAGCUAUAAGUGUAUGCUUUCCCAGUCAUUAAUGAAGUUUGCAUGAAUCCAGAAAUCAAAUAAACUGAUCAGAAUUGUGUAGUCUGUGGGCCACCUACAUAGCCUUUAGGAUAUCCCCAACUGGAAGAUAAUUCUAAACAUUAUUGUGGUCCACUUAAUGUUUUGCUUGCUGGAAAAAGAAG